RNAcentral lists this transfer RNA (71 nucleotides) under Stegodyphus mimosarum. It matches the Rfam family "tRNA". From Rfam's summary of the family: Transfer RNA (tRNA) molecules are approximately 80 nucleotides in length. Their secondary structure includes four short double-helical elements and three loops (D, anti-codon, and T loops). Lineage: Eukaryota; Metazoa; Arthropoda; Arachnida; Araneae; Eresidae. The record is from Rfam by way of RNAcentral.
GUCUUCGUAGUCUAACGAUAGGACACUCGGCCCGUAUUCGAGAAUUCCAAGUUCAAGUCCCGGCAAAGGCA